RNAcentral lists this ribosomal RNA (252 nucleotides) under uncultured bacterium. RNAcentral's name for it is "partial 16S ribosomal RNA". It matches the Rfam family "Bacterial small subunit ribosomal RNA", at positions 526 to 776 of the family's 1533-position model. The record is from RNAcentral.
CGUAGGGUGCAAGCGUUGUCCGGAAUUAUUGGGCGUAAAGAGCUCGUAGGCGGUUUGUCGCGUCGAAUGUGAAAACCCGGGGCUCAACCCCGGGCCUGCAUUCGAUACGGGCAGACUAGAGUUCGGUAGGGGAGUCUGGAAUUCCUGGUGUAGCGGUGAAAUGCGCAGAUAUCAGGAGGAACACCGGUGGCGAAGGCGGGACUCUGGGCCGAUACUGACGCUGAGGAGCGAAAGCGUGGGGGAGCAAACGGG